UGUCCAGGGAUGGGAAUCGAACCCACAGUGUUCCGCUUACCGGGCAGAUGCCAUGUCCACUAGGCUAUUGGAC
Molecule: transfer RNA, 73 nt
Filed under: Cordylochernes scorpioides
Lineage: Eukaryota; Metazoa; Arthropoda; Arachnida; Pseudoscorpiones; Chernetidae
Description: tRNA-Thr
Source: RNAcentral